Molecule: non-coding RNA, 64 nt
Filed under: Cytobacillus firmus
Lineage: Bacteria; Bacillati; Bacillota; Bacilli; Caryophanales; Bacillaceae
Also listed under: 1 other name
Source: RNAcentral
GUUCGAAACCGGGUUUUCCCGGUCUGUCAGGGAUGACCUCCUGACACUGAUGAGAUAGGUCAAA